CUACGGGCGGCAGCAGUGAGGAGUUUUGCGCAAUGGGGGAAACCCUGACGCAGCAACGCCGCGUGAGCGAAGAAGGCCUUCGGGUCGUAAAGCUCUGUCAAGUGGGAAAAAACGUUUUCCGGUCAAUAGCCGGGAGAUCUGAUGGUACCGCUGAAGGAAGCACCGGCUAACUCCGUGCCAGCAGCCGCGGUAAUACGGAGGGUGCAAGCGUUGUUCGGAAUUAUUGGGCGUAAAGAGCGUGUAGGCGGUUUGGUAAGUCAGAUGUGAAAGCCCCGGGCUCAACCCGGGAAGUGCAUUUGAAACUGCUUUACUUGAGUAUGGGAGAGGAGAGUGGAAUUCCUGGUGUAGAGGUGAAUUUCGUAGAUAUCAGGAGGAACAUCUGUGGCGAAGGCGACUCUCUGGACCAAUACUGACGCUGAGACGCGAAAGCGUGGGUAGCAAACAGGAUUAGAUACCCUAGUAGUC
This 465-nucleotide ribosomal RNA is filed under the name uncultured bacterium. Its description in RNAcentral is "partial 16S ribosomal RNA". It matches the Rfam family "Bacterial small subunit ribosomal RNA", at positions 339 to 795 of the family's 1533-position model. The record is from RNAcentral.